RNAcentral lists this ribosomal RNA (403 nucleotides) under uncultured bacterium. RNAcentral describes it as "bacterial SSU rRNA". It matches the Rfam family "Bacterial small subunit ribosomal RNA", at positions 355 to 773 of the family's 1533-position model. The record is from RNAcentral.
UGGGGAAUCUUGCGCAAUGGGCGAAAGCCUGACGCAGCAACGCCGCGUGCGGGAUGAAGGCCCUCGGGUUGUAAACCGCUUUCAGUGGGGACGAACCAAGACGGUACCCACAGAAGAAGCCCCGGCCAACUACGUGCCAGCAGCCGCGGUAACACGUAGGGGGCAAGCGUUGUCCGGAUUUAUUGGGCGUAAAGAGCUCGUAGGCGGUUCAGUAAGUCGGGUGUGAAACCUCCAGGCUCAACCUGGAGACGCCACCCGAUACUGCUGUGACUAGAGUCCAGUAGGGGAGCGUGGAAUUCCUGGUGUAGCGGUGAAAUGCGCAGAUAUCAGGAGGAACACCAGUGGCGGAGGCGGCGCUCUGGGCUGGAACUGACGCUGAGGAGCGAAAGCGUGGGGAGCGAAC